This is an RNA transcript of Dinoponera quadriceps, 4248 nucleotides long. It is a transcript of the gene named ATP-binding cassette sub-family B member 10, mitochondrial, with no coding region annotated. The record is from RefSeq and is a predicted model, not a curated record. The transcript is spliced from 4 exons. NCBI's taxonomy places the organism in Eukaryota, Metazoa, Arthropoda, Insecta, Hymenoptera, Formicidae.
AAUUCCACAUGUGAACUGUUCUUUUUAACUUAACUGAGCGCAGCCGGUUUAGCUAAAAAGAACAGACCGAUAGUGACGGAACAAAUUUUCAUGCAGACCCUUUCGAAUGUACCUUCACGGUUCAUUUAAGUACACACCAUCCUGCGAUUUUGCCAAAAAGAUUAUAAUAAUUAAUUAUUCUGUUGAUUAGACGUGAAACUCAUAAAAAUCUACGAAUCAUGGUCCGUCGUUCACUCAUUGACCUGUUGAGUGGCAGAUUAACUGAUGAUCAUGUGAGCAGAGAGUGGACGAUAUCAGAGAGACGUGGAGAACGUGUUUUUCUAAAAUUUCGCAUGAUUUCUCUCUAACAUUUAAGGAAAAGUGUGGAAAAACAUGGUAACGGUAGUAAUUUCACAAGAGGAAUUUUUCUAACUUGACUGGAAAAAAAUCCGUCCGCACUUAUUACACACGAGUUACACACGAGCACGUGAUAGCGAUACGAGAUUUUAUACGGUUCGCAUUUUAAGGUUAGUCCGGACGAGACAUCAUUCUUCGACCUAAUUUACUCCCCAUUUAUUCAUAUGAGCUGGUGACACGCGUUAUGCUAAUCGGACUAUUGUGACUAUAUGUUUAAAAUGACGCUUCUCUGGAAAUUAUUGUCUGAUCCUGGUGUCCUGCGAAAAGCAGGAUGCCUCGGUCUCGGUGUAUCGCAUAAGUACUUAUUCGACUCGUACCUGACAACACGGCUCGUCAGAGUGUCGAAGAAGAACCGGGCGACAUUGGUCGGUCUGAGACACCAUGCGACCAAGGCCAUCGAAUCCGAUGUCUUGACAACGGUCGCACAUUCGGCCAAAAGGACCAAGAAAACCUCGGAGCUGAGGAAUUUAAUCCUGUUAGCCGCGCCAGAAAAGUGGACUCUAAUGCAGGCCAUCGCAUUUUUACUGGUGUCAUCCGGCGUGACGAUGGCAGUGCCCUUCUGCUUCGGCAAAGUGAUAGACGUCAUCAGCAAUACAAAGAAAGAAGACAUGAAAGAGAACCUUAAUCGGCUAACGUUGGUUCUGCUUGUAGUAUUUCUCAUUGGUGGCCUUAGCAAUUUUAGAAGAGUUUAUUUGAUGUCAGCAGCAGGACACAGGAUCACACAGUCACUGAGGAGACAAGCGUACACCGCUAUCCUCCGGCAAGAGACAGCGAUGUUCGAUAAGGGGAGCACAGGAGAACUGGUCGGCAGAUUGAGCGGUGAUACGCAACUCAUCAGCUCCGCCGUCACGUCCAACGUCUCGGACGGUCUGCGUUCCGCUAUCAUGGCGGUGACAGGAGUGUCGAUGAUGUUCUACGUGUCGCCGACGCUCGCCCUGCUCGGCCUCGCUAUAGUACCGCCGGUCGUGGCUGUCGCGGCCGUCUGGGGCCGCGUGCUGAAGAGAGUCUCCAAGGAGCUGCAGAACAGUGUCGCGGUGCUGAACGCGACCGCCGAGGAGAGGAUCGGCAACAUCAGGACCGUGAAGGCGUUCGCGCAAGAGGAGCGCGAGAUCGACCGGUACUGCGGCAAACUGCGGGACGUUCUCGCGCUCUGCUACAAGGAGAGCCUCUACAGAGGCCUGUUCUUCGGCAUGACCGGCCUCUCCGGGAACGCCAUCGUCCUCUCCGUCCUCUACAACGGAGUGUUCAUGGUGUCUAGCGGCGACAUAACGAUCGGCAGUCUGAGCGCCUUCCUGCUUUACGCCGGCUACGUGGGCAUGUCUCUGAACGGACUGUCCACGGCGUACAGCGAGCUGAACAAGGCGCUGGGCGCGAACGCCCGCCUCUUCGAGUUGAUCAACCGACAGCCGCUCAUCCCUGUCCAGGGCGGACGAGUCUUGCCCAAGGAAUUGUCGGGCAACGUGGCGUUCCGCGACGUCUCCUUCGCUUAUCCGACGCGCGACACGGUGCCUGUGCUCAGGGGCUUCGAUUUGAACGUGAAUGAGUGCUCCGUGACAGCCAUCGUCGGGCUGUCCGGCUCCGGCAAGUCCACUGUAGCAUCGCUCUUGCUCAGGUUCUACGACCCCACGAAGGGGUCGAUCCUCUUGGACAACCACGACCUCCGUCUGCUCGACCCCGCGUGGGUGAAGUCGCAGAUCAGCGUGGUGGCCCAGGAGCCGAUUCUGUUCAGCUGCUCGGUGCGGGAGAACAUAUUGUACGGGAUGGAGGGCGCGUCGGACGCCGACGUGCUGGAGGCCGCACGACUGGCGCAUGUGUUGGAGUUCACGGAGAAGAUGACGGACGGCCUGGACACGAUAGUGGGGGAGAGGGGGAUCGCGCUCAGCGGCGGUCAGCGUCAGCGGGUCGCCAUCGCCAGGGCCUUAAUUAAGAAACCAAAGAUUCUAAUACUUGACGAAGCGACCAGUGCCUUAGACGCGGAGAGCGAGAAUUUCGUUCAGGAGGCGUUAGAGCGCGCCAUUCGUGGCAGGACGGUGAUAACCAUCGCCCACAGACUCAGCACAAUCAAGAACGCCGAUAAGAUCGUGGUGCUCGACGGCGGUCGAGUGGCGGAGACCGGCUCUUACGCCGAGCUGAUGGCCUUGGAGAACGGUCACUUCAAGAAACUUGUGAAGCACCAGACGUUCACGUAGAAAAAAAAAAGAGAUAGAAAACACAAAAUUCGCCGAGCGAACAAGCGCUCUCGAUUCGCGCUCGGACGCUCUUGCUCUCGUUGUGCUUGUAGAAAAAAAUGCGUCGAACGACUAAUAAAAUUAGUUAGUGCUUAUCUUGACGCAUCAUUCGGACGGAAAACUCGGAAGCGGAGUAAGAACGGAGUAACAUCAGUUCCGGGCGCUGUGCGUUCAUCGCCGAUACGAGAUCUGAGGGACGAUAGGUGUCGGAGAGGAGGAUACGUGACGCAUUGUCUUGUGGAAAAGAGGAAACACAGACAGCGAGGUACGAUUCCCGCCUUGUUUUUCAGGAGUAACACGAGAAGACGGGUAUACGCUACGAAUAAGAGAGAAGUCGACAAUCAUUUUUAUAUAUUUUGUUAUAAAAUAAUGUACAGCUAUUUUCAGAUAUCCACAUUUGUGUGUAUGUGUGUGUGUGUAUGUAUAUAUUAUGUAUGUGUGUACGUAGUGUAUAAUGUCGUGUUAUUAGUUUAUAUUACUCUUACCCCACUUCUACGAUAUUCAUCUAAUAAUUUUCAUUAGAUCCGCGUCCAGCUCGAAUCCGCUCGUAAAUAUUUUGUGCACGUACAUAAAACUGCAAGCAGCUCCAAAUCACAAUCGCAACGGGUAUUCGUGCGUGGAUCGAUCUCUAAUAUAGUUUACUUUUCAGUUGGUUUUGCUUUUUCGCACAAUACAUGUGUGGUCUUAUCAAUCAUAUUUGGCUCUCUCAUUCGUACUCGGGUUGUGUUUCACUCGCAUCCGGAUAUCUCUCAUUCGCUUCUUCGUCCUUCGGGUUCGCGUUGUAGAAAAAACUCGCGGGCGCGCAGCUCUCCUUGUUGUUCGACUAUUCGAUCUCGUCAGCGCGAAAAUCACGAUAGCGAAAUGGAAGGAAUCACACGAUGCCGUGUCUCCCCGAUCGCGAGACGGUUCGCGUUUAUUGGCUUCGCUUUCUCUCCUUCUCUCAUCUCCACACGCAACGAACACUCGGUGAAAGAAAAGUACUCGUCCGUAUCAACGAUCGACGGGAAAUCGCGGAUUUGGAAUCUGCACACCGAUCCCAAUGAACCGUGUCGCGAUAGACUACCUUUGAGAAUUAGCUGUAGCGUAAUUUCGGCAGACAGCUCUCCGCGAGAAGCAACGCCGCUCCUCCCGACGUUCCUCGCGAGUGUGUCGCGCGCCUGCCCACCGGGUGAACAUCGCGCGAAGAAUCAAAUAUCCGAUUGAUACUCCCGCGAGAGUGUACCCGACGAGGGCCUUGUUCCGUGACUUUUCAACUGUCGUUAAAAGUCGAAUACACAGAAAAGAAGGGCCCAGCCGGGGAGGAUUGUGUGUAAUCGUAACUUGGUAUUGUAAGGCUGCUGCGGCGACGAUCGCGGCUUCGUUCGUACGUUCACUCGGCGGCGAGACACACACCGGACGUCGAGACCCGAGCUCACGGUAUUUCCCCGGUACGUUGCGUCACGUCUCCGAGAAUCGAUCAAUUGUUUAGAUAAUACUUGUCCGAUACGCAAUAUACACAGUAGUUAAUAUAGGCACAACCUUACUCUAAGCGGAUAACUAUCGGUACUCGUGUAUAAAUCCAUAUUGAAAUGUCUUACACCGCCCGGCUGAAUUCCCGGCUUCUCUAUACAAGCGGUUUUCGAUA